AUCUAAAUGAAGACUGCCUUGGGGCGUCUGGGUGGCUCAGUGGUUGAGUGUCUGCCUUCAGCUCAGGGCGUGAUCCCAGGAUCCUGGGAUGGAGUCCCACAUCAGGCUCCCCAUGGAGAGCCUGCUUCUCCCUCUGCCUAUGUCUCUGCCUCUCUCUUUGUGUCUCUCAGGAAUAAAUAAAAUCUUUUAAAAAAAUUUUAUAAAUAAUAAUUUUUUUUUUUUUUUUUUUUUUUUUUUUUUUUUUUAAAUUUUUAUUUAUAUAUAAAAAAAAAAAAAAAAAAAUAAAAUUAAUAUUUAAUUAAAAAAAAUAAAUAUGGAGACUGCUUUAAAGCUGUCAGUGAGGAUUUUAUUUAUUUAUUUAGGGGGAUGCCUGAGUGGCUCAGCAGUUGAGCGUCUGCCUUCGGCUCAGGACCUGAUCCAAGGGCCCUGGGAUCGAGUCCCUCAUUGGGCUCCCUGCAUGGGUCUACUUCUCCCUCUGCCUAAGUCUCUGCCUCUCUGUGUAUCUCUCAUGAAAAAAUAAAUAAAAUAUUAAAAAAGAAGUCUUGGGGCUGGGGGAGGUCACCUAGGGAGAGGGUAUGACCCCCAAUCACAGAUGAGGAAGCCUGGCACUUUUUGAGCUGUAAGAAUCACAUUUAUACCACAUGGUCAACCACCCAGAACAUCCCCUUUGGUGGUGGGCCGUUACAAUCUGACAGCAGCAGCAUGGAAUCUGGAAUGAUAAGACUCAGGUUUUAUACCAUAACUCUGUCCCUACUAGCUGUAUGGCUCAGCAAGAUGUAACCUCUCCCAGUUUCCUCUUCUGUAAAAUUACCUCGAGCCACUGGACCUCUUUAAUUUAUCAACAAUGAAACACAUUCCCCCAGGGCCCUUGAGCACUGGUUUUGCCCUGACUUGGACCCCACCCUUUAAUGGGAAAGGCCUGGAGGCCAGAGGAAUGAGAGCUAUAAAGCUACAAAGAAAGCUAUUCCUGAGUCCCAAGGAAGCAGGAGGGGCCACUUCUAACUCAGAGAAGGUGUGUGUUGGGAAGAUUCUGAACCACCUGAUGAGGUAAGCAUUUUUAUUCGUUUAUUUAUUUAAUUAAUUUAUUUAUUUUAAGUAAGCUCCAUACCCAACGUGGGACUCAAACUCAUGGCCCCAACAGUAAGAGUCACGUGCCUCUUGCAACUGAGUCAGCCAGGCGCCCCUGAAGAAGGCAUUUUAAGCACCUUUUUAUUUUUAUUUAUUUUUUAAUUUAUUUUUUAAUAAGUCAGUUUCCUUUUUUUUUUUUUUUUAGUGAUACAAAAAAUAUUUAUAUAUUCCACAAAAAACUUCAAUAAAAUUGGUGAUUUAGUCCUGCAGAAACAUAAGCAUGCAACACCCCCCAGGACUCACCCGUCGGUGUGUUUGAAUGUUAAAGUCCACAAAAUGUCUACAAUUCAAUCUGGAUCUAUAAACACAAACUAAUUUGAUAAGGGUGAAAUCCUUUUAUUUUUUAUUAUUUUUAUUAUUUUUUUAUUUUUAUAAAUUUAUUUUUUAUUGGUGUUCAAUUUGCCAACAUAUAGAAUAACACCCAGUGCUCAUCCCGUCAAGUGCCCACCUCAGUGCCCGUCACCCAGUCACCCCCAUCUUUUUUUUUUUUUAAAGAUUUUAUCUAUUUAUUUAUGAGUGACACACACACAGAGAGAGGCAGAGACAUAGGCAGAGGGAGAAGCAGGCUCCAUGCAGGGAGCCUGAUGUGGGACUCGAUUCCAGGACUCCAAGGUCAUACCCUGGGCCAAAGGCAGGCGCUCAACCGCUGAGCCACCCAGGCGUCCCAUUAAGCACCUUUUUUAUAAAAAAAGAAACAUUCAGAGAAGGCAGGGAACUCAGUCAAAGUUACACAGCCUGAAAGUGGCAGAGCACACAGUGGCAUGCUCAGUUAUCAGCUUUGAUGUUCUUGGCCACAGCCAGG
This 1930-nucleotide long non-coding RNA is filed under the name Canis lupus familiaris (dog). RNAcentral's name for it is "lncRNA (ENSCAFG00040013656.1)". The record is from RNAcentral. Lineage: Eukaryota; Metazoa; Chordata; Mammalia; Carnivora; Canidae.